RNAcentral lists this ribosomal RNA (253 nucleotides) under uncultured bacterium. RNAcentral describes it as "partial 16S ribosomal RNA". It matches the Rfam family "Bacterial small subunit ribosomal RNA", at positions 524 to 776 of the family's 1533-position model. The record is from RNAcentral.
UACGUAGGGGGCAAGCGUUGUCCGGAUUUAUUGGGCGUAAAGAGCGUGUAGGCGGCUUUACAGGUCCGCUGUGAAAACUCGAGGCUCAACCUCGAGCUGUCGGUGGAAACCGUAUGGCUAGAGUCCGGAAGAGGAGAGUGGAAUUCCUGGUGUAGCGGUGAAAUGCGCAGAUAUCAGGAAGAACACCCGUGGCGAAGGCGGCUCUCUGGGACGGUACUGACGCUGAGACGCGAAAGCGUGGGGAGCGAACAGG